This 576-nucleotide long non-coding RNA is filed under the name Rattus norvegicus (Norway rat). RNAcentral's name for it is "long non-coding RNA NONRATT008957". Lineage: Eukaryota; Metazoa; Chordata; Mammalia; Rodentia; Muridae. The record is from RNAcentral.
CUGACCCGACCCUCUUGGUAUCUAUAAAACUGCUAAACUCAAAUGAAGACUGUAUAUAAAAUUCCAGGUAGGAAGCUGCCCUAGGAGAGCCGCAGCUCUGCUAUAUCCUGGAUGCCAUCCUGUUUUUGUAUGGUAUUGUCCUUACCCUGCUCUACUGUCGACUCAAGAUCCAGGUCCGAAAGGCAGACAUAGCCAGCCGUGAGAAAUCAGAUGCUGUCUACACGGGCCUGAACACCCGGAACCAGGAGACAUAUGAGACUCUGAAACAUGAGAAACCACCCCAAUAGCUUUACAACACGUGUUCUCAGCUGCAUUCCUUUUCCGCUUUUAAUUCUCUCCUCGCCCUCAUGAUUGACGUGGCUGUGCUACCUCCGUGCUUCUGGAACUAGCUGACCUUAUUCCCAGAACCAUGCUAGGCUCUAAAUCAAUGUCCCCAUAUCCACCAAAGACUUACUCACUGACAUUUCUCUUCUCCCAUCCUCCUUUGCUUCAUUCCUCUUUCCUUCCCUGAUCCUCUGUGCUCACUAAACAAUGGGAAGGGAUUACCCCCCAAUAAAGCUGCCAGAGAUCACGCUC